This 599-nucleotide ribosomal RNA is filed under the name uncultured bacterium. Its description in RNAcentral is "bacterial SSU rRNA". It matches the Rfam family "Bacterial small subunit ribosomal RNA", at positions 836 to 1434 of the family's 1533-position model. The record is from RNAcentral.
UUGUUCAGUAACGAAGCUAACGCGAGAAGUCGACCGCCUGGGGAGUACGGUCGCAAGAUUAAAACUCAAAGGAAUUGACGGGGACCCGCACAAGCGGUGGAUGAUGUGGAUUAAUUCGAUGCAACGCGAAAAACCUUACCUACCCUUGACAUGUAUGGAAUUCUGCUGAGAGGUGGAAGUGCCUGAAAGGGAACCAUAACACAGGUGCUGCAUGGCUGUCGUCAGCUCGUGUCGUGAGAUGUUGGGUUAAGUCCCGCAACGAGCGCAACCCUUGUUAUUAAUUGCCAUCAUUUAGUUGGGCACUUUAAUAAGACUGACGGUGAUAAACCGUAGGAAGGUGGGGAUGACGUCAAGUCCUCAUGGCCCUUAUGGGUAGGGCUUCACACGUCAUACAAUGGUCGGUACAGAGGGUAGCCAACCCGCGAGGGGGAGCCAAUCUCAGAAAGCCGAUCGUAGUCCGGAUUGUUCUCUGCAACUCGAGAGCAUGAAGUCGGAAUCGCUAGUAAUCGCGGAUCAGCAUGUCGCGGUGAAUACGUUCCCGGGUCUUGUACACACCGCCCGUCACACCAUGGGAGUGGGUGAUACCAGAAGUAGGUAGU